GCUCCAUUGCAAACCACAUCGAAGGUUUCCCGAUCUCUCCCGGCGACGCCGCAGGCAGGCUCUGGCGCACAGCAAGGCUUUGAAUCAAAUCGAUGGGCGGAGAAGUUCAUCAAGAACGGGGCAACCAGCAAGACACAGGCUUUGAAUCAACUCCGGUCAUCAUGAACACAAAGAGAAUGCAGCAUCAUGAACAGAAAGAGAAUGCAGCACGGAGAACCAGCAAUCCAGACGGGAUCAUCAAGCAGUGCGCAGGGUGUCUCGGGAGAAGAUAAACGCGCUACACAGAAAUCAAGACACGAAGCACGGUGAUGAUCAGGGAUCACGAUCACGAUGAGAUGAAAUACAGGAGCUAGGCAGCUUGGCUCAGAUUCUACUGUUAGCCAAGGUUCCAUUCAGUCACUCCCAUGUACUUUGUUUACUUCAAUCCUACUUCGGACAAACCCCAGGCAAGCUGUUUUUUAAUACUCACAAACUGUCGGAUCACCAGCAGUGAUAGAUCUAUUUAUAUUUUGUUGAUAAUAGCCUGUUGCUGCAAGUGUUUGGUUGUUUUCUAUUCCGUCUGUAAACU
Triticum dicoccoides is the source of this 568-nucleotide long non-coding RNA. RefSeq lists it as uncharacterized. The record is from RefSeq and is a predicted model, not a curated record. Lineage: Eukaryota; Viridiplantae; Streptophyta; Magnoliopsida; Poales; Poaceae. The transcript is spliced from 3 exons.